Molecule: long non-coding RNA, 6536 nt
Filed under: Solanum tuberosum (potato)
Lineage: Eukaryota; Viridiplantae; Streptophyta; Magnoliopsida; Solanales; Solanaceae
Description: long non-coding RNA (STUB_LNC007448)
Source: RNAcentral
GUACCCGAAGUUAGGAGCCUAACUGCUGGAAUGUUGUGUUCAUUCGCGACACGUUCAGCCCAUUGCUGCAAUAUGUCAUAAAUCACCAAAUCAGGUUUCAGAUUUUGCAAGAUUUUUGAAAAGUUUGGUUUGGACAUUUUCAGGGCUUUUUGAAGGGUGUUAUGGAGAUGGAGUGGGAGAUCAUUGGUCGUAUGGUAAUGAGGAGGAAGUUCGAGUAAUUCUGGUAAGUGAAGUUCGACAAGCUGAAUCGAAUCAGCAUACUUUUCGGGGAUUUUCUUACUGGCUUGAGAUUGAUGGGCGUAGAACAGAGGUAAAUCAAGAAUUCCCUAUCCGCGAGUUUCUUGUCUACGUUUAGAAAUGGAGAGAUGUGUCCAUAAGCCAAAAAUGGGAACAUUAGUACCCUCAAAGUACCAAGAGGCUCUGUAACUUGUUUAGCCAUGAUCAAAAUCUUGAAAUGGUAUACUAAAUUCUUGAAAUGAAAGAAGGGUGAGAAAUGAGAGAUGGUUUCUCUAUGGAGUUGACUUGCUUAAUUAUUAAAGAGAAAAGACUCAAAUAUGUAUCGAACUCCGAGAAAAUGCCCAUUUAUGGCAUUGUUAAAAGUUUGUCUCAACUACAUCAUUUUCGUUUGAGAAAAGACUCAUACAUGUCAUUAUUUGUUCACUUAGAUGACAUAGAUGAGCAAAGUUUUUAACGAAUGACAUAAAUGGAUCAUUUUCUCAAAGUUCGAUGACAUAUUUGAGUCAUUUCCCUUUUAAAAAUGAUUUAAUUAAUGACGUAAACGAAUCAUAACAAAUCACGUAUACGGAAUAAAUUUGCAACAUCUAAUUUAUAUUCAGUUAACAAAUAAUGGCAUAGAUGAAUUUCAUCUCAAAUGAAAAUAACAUAAAUGAAUCAAACUUAUAAUCAAUUGCACAAACUGACCUAUUUUUUCUUAAAGUUCGAUGACAUAUUUGAAAUUUUUUCCUUUACAAUUAAAAACAUAAGAUAGAUGAGGACAAAAGGGAAAUCUACACAAAUGUACGUUAAAACUUUUACAUUAAAAGCUCAUCGAAAAACACACAUUAGUCAAUUUCCCAAAAAGUUAUGACAACAAUGUAUGUGAAAAAUACGAAAACCUAUGACUUUUUAUAAAUGAUCACAUUACUCCAUCCGUCCAACAAAAACUAUAAAUAAAAGAAUAAUUUUACUAUAUUAUCUUCUGAAUAUAAUAAAUAUAAUAUCUUAAAAAAUAUAAUAAGAAAAUGAUCAUAAUUAAUGAUAAAUGUAAAUUAAGAACUAAGCGUAAAAAUUAUCCAUUAAUUUCAUAAAGUGAACAAGUACUGUUGGACAUCUCAAAAUAGUAUAGUGUACAAUUAUUGUUUGACAGAGGGAGUAGUUUUUUAAAAUUUUGUUUCCUCCAUCCAACAAUAAUUGUCCACUAUACUAUUUUGGUAUGUCAUCGAAAAAUACACAUUAUAUGGUUAUUAUAUUCAUGUUUUAGUUUGACUAAAAAUAAUAAGAUAGAAGGAUGGUCGUCUUGUCGAAGUGGAUAUAAAAAGGAGCUCAUAAGAUUGUGCAUUAAUUUUAUAUUUUGUUCCUUAUUUUUUCUAUAAUUAAAGUCACAACUCAUAACAAUGAUAUCAUAUUAUUGACAUAAUAUAUAAAUGUGACCCUUAACUUGGCUUCAGUUGAUAACUAUGACCUUUAACUUUGAGUGUGCAUAAGUAGACACUUAAACUUGUAUAAAAUUGAACAAAUAGACACAUUUGUAUGGCGUCCUACAUGGCAAUUUUGUGUCCUAUGUGGCAUUCUAUGUGUAUUAUUAUGUCACGUAAGACAUGUGUGUCUACUUGUUCAAUUUUAUAUAAGUUUAAGUGUCUAUUUGUGCACACUCAAAGUAGGACGGCAUAGAUGUCAGUUCAAACCAAACUAAAGGGCAUAUUUAUGUAUUAUGCUUUUUUUAUUUUGUACUUUAUGAGUAUGAUUUUUUUAUUGUCACCAAUUUAUACUUUUGGUUCGUAUUAUAACUUAGGACUUUGAAGGAAAUCGCUAACUACUGACCAUAUGUUUUCUUCUGUAAUAUCAAUUAGGCAUAACACAUAAAUAUGACUCUUAACUUGAUUUCAAAUUUUAACUUUGACCUUAAAUUUUCAAAGUGCAUAAAGAGACACUUUAACUAUCCAACUCUUAAAUAAAAAAGCACUCAAAUAUUGCAGCCCAAACACGUGAAAUGCAGACGCUCCAUUAAAUGGCUGGCAACUAAUUAAAAAAUUUACACGUAGAUAUUAGAAUUAAAAAAAACUAAAUUAAUAUUCAAAUUAAUACAAGGGUGAAAGCCUGUUCCAUUUUACCCUGUUUCUCUCUCAAAAUCGCAAACCCCUAGCUGAGGAUUUACAACCAAAAUUGUGAAUCAAGGGAAAAAUCGUUCAAGAUUUGUGCUAAAAGUUCAUAUAGUCUAAUGUUUAUCUGUUCAUCUUCCUCAAUUUAGUCCAGGUAUGUUUAAUUUUGCCCUUUUGAAAGUUAGUUUUUGAUAGAAGGUAGAAUCUUGGCAAAAGUAUUCAUUACCUCCCUGAACUUGAAGCUUUUUAUACGAUGUACACCUAAACUAAAUUCCAUUUUAAUUACCCCCGAACUUGUUUAUUCCUCCGUCGCGUACACUUUUUUCGUCCACCUGCUCCUAUUGUGACUACACGCGCGCGACAACUGGCAAAAGUGGUGAUGUGGAUUUCCACCUGGAUAAAUAAUAGCCACCUAGAUAAAUUAAUAUUGCAAAAAAUAAAUUUCUUAAAUUUAAAUUCAUUGUUUAAAAGUUAUUUUUGAAUAAGGGCUGAUUUCGCGGAACUCCUUCUGGAUUUAGAUUUUUCUAGACGUGAAGUUGGUCGAUUAAAUUUCAAAUUUGUCUGAAAUUCUUACCAAGUAAGUGUUAAUCUUUGUUUCCUUUACUUUUCAUUUACAUUUUGCCCUAUUUUCGUUUAAAAUAUGACAAAUAUUAAAAUUCAUCGUUUAAAAGUUUUUUGAAUAAGGGCUGAUUUCACGGAACUCCUUGAAUUUCAAAUUUGUCAAAAAUUCUUACCAAAUAAGUGUUAAUCUUUGUUUCCUUUACUUUUUCAUUUUACAUUUUUGCCCUAUUUUUUCGUUUAAAAUAUGCCAAAUAUUAAAGAAAAAUGGAGAUUUUACGUUUUUUUUACCGUUGUAGCUUUGUGAUGUGGCAAAAAAUCACUUCCUCACGCGCCUAGUAGAGUGUGUUGUCAAUUUCUACGCCAGGUGGACAAAAAAGGUGUACGCGACGGAGGAAUAAACAAGUUCGGGGUAAUUAAAACGGAAUUUAGUUUAGGUGUACACCAUAUAAAAAACUUCAAGUUCAGGGGAGUAAUGAGUACUUUUGCCUAGAAUCUUUGCUUAAAUUUGGAUUGUUUGCAAACCAAUGACCUGUAUUGUUUGCGGACUAAGAAAUCUUCAAUUAUAGUUCUUUUCCCACAAUGACAAAAAAAUUAGAAGCCAUUUGCACUAAAAACGAGUAGAAACAAAGGAAAGCUUCAAAGUGGAAGGGAUAUAGCAGUGAAGAUGUUGAGCAAGCCUAAAGCUGAUGGGCAAGAUUUCAUGAAUGAAGUAGCUACCAUCGGAAGGAUUGAUCAUGUCAAUGUGGUUGGACUCGUGGGGUAUUGCGUUGAGGGAACAAAGUGUGCUCUUGUUUACGACUUCAUGCCCAAUGGAUCACUUGAUAAGUACAUCAGCACCAGUCAAGAAGGAAGUCCUCUGUUAAGUUGGCAGAGGAAGUAUGACAUUAUUCUUGGAGUGGCUCGAGGAAUUGGGUAUUUGCAUCGAGGUUGUGAUGUACGAAUAUUGCAUUUUGACAUCAAGCCACACAACAUUCUUUUGGAUGAGAAUUUCAUUCCAAAGAUUUCUGACUUUGGGCUUGCAAAAUUAUAUCCAACAUAUAAGAGCAUUGUGACUCUCACAGCUGCUCGUGGAACGAUUGGAUAUGUUGCUCCAGAGUUGAUCAGCAGAAGCAUUGGAGCAAUCUCAUACAAAGCCGAUGUUUACAGCUUCGGAAUGCUGCUAACGGAAAUGUUGGACUUGAAGAGAAAUGAAGUUGCAAAUGAAGAGAAUUCCAGCCAAUACUUUCCUUAUUAUAUUUGCGAUAAGUUCAACAAGGGGAAAGAGAUUGUGAUGGAUGAAGAAGCGAAUGAUGAUGAAAAGAAGAUGGCUAGAAAGCUGAGUUUAGUUGCAUUAUGGUGUAUACAAACAAAUCCGAUACAACGCCCUUCAAUGAGUAAAGUAGUAGAAAUGCUUGAAGGCGAAGUUGAAGUGCUACAAGUACCUCCUCAGCCUCUUCAAUCUCAACCGAUUGUCCAUCAGAUCAUGGGAAGUUCUAUGACAUUUUCUUCUGAUUCAAUAGCUUUGUUAGAUAAUUAUUCCGUUGAGGUAGACAUUCAUGCUGAUUGAUUAUAGUUGAUGUAAUGUUUAGGUGAAACAAACAUAGCCGACCCAACAAUGUUUGGGACAAAGAAUGGUGUUGUUAUUGUGUACUAGUUAUAUUAAAGGCAUAAUACAUAUAUAUGCCAUUUAACUUGGCCUCAACUCACAUUUAUGCAUAGAAACUUAACUUGUAUAAAGUUGAACAAAUAGACACACGCAUCCUAUGUGGCAUCCUACAAGGAAAUUUGAAUCCUACAUGGUGUUCUAUGUUUUUCUCAUUAUUUCAACCUCAAUAUAUUUUGAAGACAAACAAAAACACCUCACAUACUAUAUUAUUUUGUUAAUUGAAUCAUAAGAUUCACUUAUUAGUAUUCCUAUAAAGUUGAAUUAGCUCUUGAGCAGCUCUUCAUCUCUUAUAUAUUUUAAAUUCUUACUAAUAUCUCUCACUUUAACCCUCAAUUUUUCCCCUGUUUUCCUGUUAUGACACCUUUUAAGAGUUUCCGCGAUUUCUCCUCUGUGAAUUUUCCCAUCAUCAUCUCUAACAAUUUCCACUGCGACUCCCAAUUCUACGAUCAACCUAGCAUUCAUUGGUUGAUCAAGAUGCAUAGGCAUGGCAACUAUAGGAACCCCAAAAUCUAUAGUUUCCAUUGCUGAAUUCCAACCACAAUGACUUAUAAAUCCUCCAGUACUCGGAUAAUUUAGAUUUCUUGGUUGUGGUGCAAAUUUGUCCAAAACUCUUCCCCUUUCUCCAAUUCUUUCAAGAAAACCUUUUGGUAAUGCAUCUUCAAUAUUUUGCUCUUCCCCUUUUGGAAAUCUUGCAACCCAUAUGAAAUUAACAUUACUUAACUCCAACCUGGAAGCUACUUCUUCCAUAUCUUCUUUUGACAAGAAAUACUCACUCCCAAAGGAGACAAAUACAGUUGAAUUCUCAUCUUUUGUUCCUAGCCAAUCUAUAAGCUCCAAUGUUGAUAAAAUAUCUUUAUUAUCUUAAAAAGUAUAAGAAUAAUAUUUGAAAUUAUUUAUUACAUAUUAUUACCUUAAUUACUUUAGCUUACUAAUAUUAUAUAUUAAGGAUUUUAAUUGUGUAGCAACGUUUUGAUUUUCUUAAUAUGGCAGUGGUUAAUUGCCUUUAUGGCAUUAAUCAAUUACUAUUUGAUUUGGGAGUUACAAAAAUCCUAUAGAAUAUUUGGUGGUAUUUGAUAGACUUUAUGACAAUAAUUUUGUUUUAAUGUGCAUUAGUAUGCACGGCUAUAUUUGGUAGUAUGUUAUAAGCCUUUAUGGCAUAUUGACAGUUACUUUUUAUUAGUUGUGCACAUGGCUGAUGGUAUGGUAUUUACCAUAUACUUCUAUAUCUAUAUAUAGUACGUUUAUGUGCAAAAAGGAAGAGUAAGAAAGAUUAUAUUAAAAAACUUUUCUUCCUAAUUUAUUUGCUGGGUUUUCUUAAGUAAAAUAUAUUUUUUGUUAGAUUCUGGCUCCUAGUUUUUUAGUACUAGAAGAGUUUGUUGAAUUAUGGGGAUACACCUUAACCGGUGAAAUAUCCUUAAGGACAGUGUCAUAGGCACGCCUCAAGCUACGAGAUUUCCGUAAUUUCCAAUAGUUUUCCAACAAAUUGCUCAAAUCAGUGCAAUAAUCGAUAUAUUUGGCUUCUAUAGUUCUAGAAGUACUCAUCAACAUGAUUUGCAUAUUUCCAUCAGCAAGAAGAUCCCCAUCAUCAGGUUCUUUCUCUUUAUUAUAUUUCGACAACCUUUCACUCAAUCUUACUUGCUCAAUUUUCCUGAGAUAAUUAGCAGGGAAAGGGAAUUCAACCUCUGGUUUCUUCAGUAAGUUGAAAAAAUACGAAAACAUAGCUGCACCGGAAGUUAGGAGCUUAACUGCUGGAAUGUUGGGUUCAUUCGCGACACGUUCAGCUCAUUGCUGCAAUAUGUCAUAAAUUAUCAAAUCAGGUUUCAGAUUUUCGAUAAGUUUGGUUUGGACAUUUUCAGGGCUUUUUGAAGGAUGUGGUUGAGAUUGGGUGGGAGACCAUUAGUCGUAUGGUAAUGAGGAGGAAGUUCGGGUAAUUCUGGUAAGUGAAGUUCGAUAAGCUGAAUCGAAUCAGCAUACUUUUUGGGGAUUUUGUUGAUGGUGGAUUUGAGAUUUAU